GCGGUAAUACGGAGGAUCCGAGCGUUAUCCGGAUUUAUUGGGUUUAAAGGGAGCGUAGGCGGGUUGUUAAGUCAGUUGUGAAAGUUUGCGGCUCAACCGUAAAAUUGCAGUUGAUACUGGCGACCUUGAGUGCAACAGAGGUAGGCGGAAUUCGUGGUGUAGCGGUGAAAUGCUUAGAUAUCACGAAGAACUCCGAUUGCGAAGGCAGCUUACUGGAUUGUAACUGACGCUGAUGCUCGAAAGUGUGGGUA
This 251-nucleotide ribosomal RNA is filed under the name uncultured bacterium. RNAcentral's name for it is "partial 16S ribosomal RNA". It matches the Rfam family "Bacterial small subunit ribosomal RNA", at positions 517 to 767 of the family's 1533-position model. The record is from RNAcentral.